This 1372-nucleotide long non-coding RNA is filed under the name Mus musculus (house mouse). RNAcentral describes it as "long non-coding RNA chr2:30485249-30486621". Lineage: Eukaryota; Metazoa; Chordata; Mammalia; Rodentia; Muridae. The record is from RNAcentral.
GGAUUAGAAACAUGUUGCCUGGCUGGGCAAGAUUUUGACAACUUCAAGUAACUGCGGAUACUUUUGUUCAGUCAGUGUAACCACUCCAAACUUGGUCCCAAUUUGGUCCCUGUUACUGUAUCCCACACAGUACAAAGGACUGAAAACUCUAUUUGAAGAGCAUCUCCUCCAGGUCUAGCUCCUCCUGGGUCCGUUUCUCCUGGUGACUUUGGCCUCUUGUGAAAGGCUAGCCCUCUUUUAUAAUAAGCACAAGUAGAUUCCACACACAGGGUUCCAAAAGGAGCAAGCAGGCCAUUGGUACUCGACUCUAGUUGACAUUGUUUAGGCGGGGCUGAGAGUAGGUUUGCGAUUUACUUAUGUUUGCCCUUUCUUCUCUGUUGAGAAAAUUUUUUUUUUAAUGUUUAUAGGUGUUUUGUCUGUGUUUUAUGCCUAUCUGUGCAUCACUUAUAUGUCUGUGGAGACCAGAAAAGGGUAUCAGAUCCCUCAGGACUGGUGUUUAGACAAUUGUGAGCUGACGUGUGGGUGCUGGGAAUCGAACCAAGGUCCUCAGGGUUCUUAACCACUGAGCCAUGUCUCCAGCCUGAAAGUUUGCAUUUUAGAAGUGAUCUGGGGGAUGCCGAGCCUUUUUGGUCAGGGGGAAUGGUUCAGCAAUGAAGUCAUCUUCUGACUUCUGUGUGGUUUCCAGACCUUUCCUGGUCACUGUGUAGAUCAAAUCCAUUGUCACAGUUCAGUGGAAUAAUAGUUGAGGACUCCUGACUGGGUGCAAACCCUGCCAGCAUUGGUGGGAUAACAGUCCACACCUAAAUGAACACCAAGGUCCCCUUCCCUCUCCACAGCCACACCUGGGGCUAAAGCUACAUUCUCCAUUUUCCACUAAAGGAAACAUUGCAAAACCUGAGUCUGAGCUUCCUAAACUUGUCUGUUUUCAGAACUCUGUGAGUGUGUGUGUGUGUGUGAGUGUGUGUGUGUGUGUGUGUGUGUGUGUGUGUGUUGGGAGAAUCCUGGGAGGGGCCCACUGUAAGAGACACAUAGGCUAGAGAAAGAGGGAGGAAGAGAGAGGGAAAAGGAGGGGGAGGGAGCACUCUGCCCUCGGUUGCUUCCAGCCCUCCCUUCCUCCCAUUUUUUGGCUUCUCAGCAUCUCUGUCGCAUCUAGAGUCACAUGUAAUGUGUUAAGGGCAAGCUGCCUUCGUCAUUCCCCAUUCUGGAAGAAAGAGUCUUCCUGUGGACUUAUGUCAGGAAGUCAGUCCUACUCCCACUACUGGUGAUGCUCCUCUGCCAGUGCCACGUCCUCCAGGAAGUCUUCCUAAUGUCCCCACUAGAACCAUUCUCUGCUCUGCUCCACUCCGGUGGCUCUGCAUGGCACCAUCUUCCC